This 723-nucleotide ribosomal RNA is filed under the name uncultured bacterium. RNAcentral describes it as "bacterial SSU rRNA". It matches the Rfam family "Bacterial small subunit ribosomal RNA", at positions 9 to 738 of the family's 1533-position model. The record is from RNAcentral.
GAGUUUGAUCCUGGCUCAGGAUGAACGCUGGCGGCGUGCUUAACACAUGCAAGUCGAACGAAGCACUUACUUACGAUCCCUUCGGGGUGACGAGUUUGUGACUGAGUGGCGGACGGGUGAGUAACGCGUGGGUAACCUGCCGUAUGCAGGGGGACAACAGUUGGAAACGACUGCUAAUACCGCAUAAGCGCACAGCAUCGCAUGAUGCAGUGUGAAAAACUCCGGUGGCAUACGAUGGACCCGCGUCUGAUUAGGUAGUUGGUGAGGUAACGGCCCACCAAGCCGACGAUCAGUAGCCGACCUGAGAGGGUGACCGGCCACAUUGGGACUGAGACACGGCCCAAACUCCUACGGGAGGCAGCAGUGGGGAAUAUUGGACAAUGGGGGAAACCCUGAUCCAGCGACGCCGCGUGAGUGAAGAAAUAUUUCGGUAUGUAAAGCUCUAUCAGCAGGGAAGAAAAUGACGGUACCUGACUAAGAAGCCCCGGCUAACUACGUGCCAGCAGCCGCGGUAAUACGUAGGGGGCAAGCGUUAUCCGGAUUUACUGGGUGUAAAGGGAGCGCAGCCGGCAGGCAAGUCUGAUGUGAAAACCCGGGGCUCAACCCCGGAUUGCAUUGAACUGUUCAGCUUGAUGUCGGAAGGUUAGCGGAUUCCUAGUGUAGCGGUGAAAUGCGUAGAUAUUAGGAGGAACACCAGUGGCGAAGGCGGCUUACUGGACGAUA